This 556-nucleotide small RNA is filed under the name Pongo abelii (Sumatran orangutan). Its description in RNAcentral is "retained intron". The record is from RNAcentral. Lineage: Eukaryota; Metazoa; Chordata; Mammalia; Primates; Hominidae.
CUGUCGCCUAGGCUGGAGUGCAGUGGCGCGAUCUCAGCUCACUGCAAGCUCUGCCUCCCGGGUUCACUCCUCAGCCUCCCUAGUAGCUGGGAUUACAGGCAUGUGCCACCACGCCCGGCUAAUUUUUUGUAUUUUUAGUAGAGAUAGGGUUUCACUGUGUUAGCCAGGAUGGUCUCCAUCUCUUGACCUUGUGAUCCGCCUGCCUCGGCCUCCCAAAGUGCUGGGAUUACAGGUGUGAGCCACCGCGCCUGGCCAGAAGAAAACUCUUACAACAAACCUUUCCAUAUUAUGAGAAAACAUCUUGUCCUUUUAAAAUAAAUAGAAACUCAAGAUACAGAUUGGGAUGAGACUCACUUCGGAAAAAUGGGAAGUUACUAUAUCAACCGUACAUUUUUCUUUGAUGUGCACCCACCCCUGGGAAAGAUGCUGAUAGGUCUUGCUGGCUACCUGAGUGGAUAUGAUGGUACCUUUUUGUUCCAGAAGCCUGGGGAUAAAUAUGAGCAUCACAGCUACAUGGGAAUGAGAGGAUUCUGUGCAUUCCUCGGCUCCUGGCUGG